CUUCAGUCGUCAGCCAUGCGCCUGCUACCUCUGAUGCUGCUGCUCUGUCUGGCGGUCUUCGCUGUCGAAGGCGCCCCUAAUCAGGGCUACUGUGGCCUUGGAGGCUCCUGGUGUCCCAGCGGCCAAGUCUGCCGUAGGUGCGGAAUCCCGAUGCCUGGGCGAUGCUGCGUGCCCCUGUCCUUAUGCCGUAAGGCAAAAAGGAAUGAUCCAUUGCUGGUCUGCUGAUCGCAGCUCUGGCCGUCGCCAGCGUGGGAUAAGUCGAGAUGUUGAAGAUGAUGGACAAGUCAUGCGAUGUUGGUGCCGAAAGCGGAAUUCGUCCACCGUUCGGAGAGCUUAGCCAAGUCAAAUGUUCUGCCUUUUCGUUACAUGCUGAAUGGUGCGGGGCGUUUCCUCGCCGCAUGUUUUCACACUCCAUGCAGGCGAGUGAUUUCCAGAAAAAUAAUCUCCUGAAAGGCUUGAGAAAAGUUGACACGCAUCUGGCGACCAGAGGUACACCUCCCUGUGUCGGCACGUGGUCGUGGCCUGCGCGCUGUUAACAGUGCAGAUUCAAAACAGGCAAUACGAAUCAAAAUGCGUGUUGUCAAAUACAAUAGAACCGAACGAGCAGCAACAGUGUACAACGACAUUCACGCGUAGGUAGCAACUUUGUCUAAAUACACCGCGGAUAUCUGAUA
This 674-nucleotide long non-coding RNA is filed under the name Pollicipes pollicipes. RNAcentral describes it as "uncharacterized LOC119114344". The record is from RNAcentral. Lineage: Eukaryota; Metazoa; Arthropoda; Thecostraca; Pollicipedomorpha; Pollicipedidae.